UUUUUUUUUGUCGGGUGACGGGGCCAGGCAAGGAGAGAAGGAGAGGAGGGUUAGAGGGUAGGGGAGUAGGCCUCCGUCGCCGUCGCUGCCGUGGCCUCCCUGCUGGGCCGCCGCUCCUGAUGGAGAGACCGUGCGCCUCAUGAAGGAAAGGAGAGAGUACGCCAUCCCUGAGUCUCCGCGGCACCCACCACAUUCCAGGCCCGCUCGAGUCGUCGCUGUUGCCGGAAGAGGCCGCAGGGAGAGGUGGCGGCCGCCAUAAUAGCGAUCCAAUAACCAAAAACCCUCGCCACGUCCCCUUCUCCUUCUUUCCGUUCUUUACUUUCCUUUCUUUUUACUCCUCGAGUCCGCUACCUCCAUUACGACCUCUGCCCGAGGACCGACACCCUAGUCUCCACAUCUAGUAUCGCCUCCUCUACUCGGUACACCUACCGUAUCUUCUCCCCCUCGAGUUCCGGCGCCUCUGCUUCCUUGUUGUCAUGUCAUAGUCCGAAGCUAGACCGACUCUAUAAAAAAACAAACAGUGCCCUGUACACUUAGGAGAGAGACCAAAAAGAAAACAGAUUUAAACUGAUUAAAGGUAGCACAUCGUUAUUUACUAACCAUGCUGAAUUAACUUACAAACAUUACUACAUUUAUUUCUUAGUUGGACAUGGAUCGACUGUUACGAUUAAGAGAGAUUAAAACACAAUUAACUUUAAAGGUGUAUGCAUACUCGUUAUAAAGAAGUUAAUUUCUUAUAAGUGAAAUGCUCCUAAAAACAAGACACGAUAAGAAUUCUUCCUAAACUUAACUACUACGAUUGAAAAUACAAAAUACUUAAAUAAUACGUUUGCUCCUUAACUUUAAGACGGUUCGUUAGAUCCUCAUCUUCUUAUACAUACGUUCCCUGAACCUCUGCUCCGUUACCACGCGACCGCUCUUGUGAUAACAAGACUACCCAAUCCUUGAAUCCUAACCCCAAGUCGACGAGAAGUCAAACAAUAUAGUUCCAAAACUUCGAAACCCUCGGACGCCGGCCAAGCCACCUACUGUAGUCGUUCGCGGCCGGGCGGAGCCGUGUCGACGCCCACCAAUAUACCACCCGCCUCGUGUGCUCACUCGAAGCUACAGUCCCAUGCCACCGUUCGAUUUAGGACUCAGGUCGAUCCGAAAAAAAGGCAAGUCUAAAACAAUGACAAAAGGUAAGCCCUAAAGUACCACUCGUUUGGAUCUUAAACGUCAACAAACAAAGUCUUUAAGUACAGGACUGUAGUUUAAAGCAAACAUUCCAUUUAGGACGGUUGUUCAGCUACGAUACCCCAAUGAUCAAGAGAAUUAAAAAGAUAAGAUUAAAACAUACGUUAAAUCUACUUAUAACAGAUAAAUUAAGUCCAUAUGCAAGGUGUACGAACACUCCAUGUGUAAAGCAUCCAGGUCUACAUUCACAAACGAACUAAACAGCGAGUUCAAAGUACAAGUUUACUACGAGGAACUGAAGUUAUGUUACAACCAUACAUCCUACUGAUAGAUACGUUGAAUAGUACGUGUUUAAUUUUUUACGAACCGAGGAGAAGACGUACAGAGGUUCCUUAUUAAAGACUACAUAUUACUCUAUUACUAAUAAAGAAAAAUAAAGAAUAGUACGCCGAUCAACGAUGUUUUUUAAUUGUGUAUGUAGCGGUGAAUAGUAAUUUUGUUUUAGUAUAGACGGUUCAAAGAUGUAAGGCAGCUUCGAACGUCUAAAUGGUAGAUAAAACCAUGUAAUAACUUUGUUUAGCAUUGGUACCUAAGAUAUACCUUCUAGCUUUAUAGUAAAAAUGUAAUCCAAGUACAUGACAUUCCUUAGCUGAAACAAGUAGAAGUUGGGUAAAAGGAUAGAACGUUUCGACAGGUAAUUUCAUACCAGUUAAAUAUGAGAUACUGAAUUAUGUAAACAUUGUGACAGUAUCACGGUAACUGUACGAGAAAAAAGUGAGGUAAAGUAUAACUAAGUAGAUGUACCAAUAUACGUACGAAAACGUAUGUAUUGAAUAGGUCAGGCGAUAACUAGUAAAGUUAAAAAGUAGGGCCGUCAUGCGACUAUCGGAUUGAUCAGACGAUAACUAGUAAAGGUAAAAGUAGGGCCGUCAUACGGCUAUAGAUAUUCGUUCGGUUAUCAAGGUUUUGCAACGAAGUGUUAAUGAGCCGUCAUAAACAGAUAAACUCGUCGUGUAUCGACCGAAGCCACCCAUCGUACCGUACAGGUAAGAGUUAACUUCAACCAGACUUUUAUAGCUUGAGACGGUACUUCAUCUUUUCUAUCGGUGGCAGGUAUCGAGAGUCCACUUACACCGUUCCGGUUUUUUGUUCAAAAGGUAACGGCCUAUAGGUUGUCUAGUUGACCACAAUACCUACGAAGAAUAUCUAUAAAACAACGGUAAAGUUUGUAGUUUGUGGUUGAUGAGUGUUACCUCUGUCCUUUGCACAUCGAAGACUACAGUUGAUUCACUCGGACGGUUAACACCGUUACCUUCCUCCACCGUACAGCAGAGUAAGUACUCCGAUAAUCAAAGUAUUGUUUGUAAAAGGUUAACGUACAGAAAACAUUUCACAAGUUUGACAAAAAACUCGUUUCUUUACUUUAAAGUUUCUGAAAUGGAUUAAAAUGAAAAAAAGGCUAACAUUAUGAUUUAGUUAAACAGUGUCAACAAAAGGG
This 2674-nucleotide ribosomal RNA is filed under the name Triticum aestivum (bread wheat). Its description in RNAcentral is "partial small subunit ribosomal RNA". The record is from RNAcentral. Lineage: Eukaryota; Viridiplantae; Streptophyta; Magnoliopsida; Poales; Poaceae.